GACGAACGCUGGCGGCGUGCUUAACACAUGCAAGUCGAACGGAAAGGCCCUGCUUUUGUGGGGUGCUCGAGUGGCGAACGGGUGAGUAACACGUGAGUAACCUGCCCUUGACUUUGGGAUAACUUCAGGAAACUGGGGCUAAUACCGGAUAGGAGCUCCUGCUGCAUGGUGGGGGUUGGAAAGUUUCGGCGGUCGGGGAUGGACUCGCGGCUUAUCAGCUUGUUGGUGGGGUAGUGGCUUACCAAGGCUUUGACGGGUAGCCGGCCUGAGAGGGUGACCGGCCACAUUGGGACUGCGAUACGGCCCAGACUCCUACGGGAGGCAGCAGUGGGGAAUAUUGCACAAUGGGCGGAAGUCUGAUGCAGCAACGCCGCGUGCGGGAUGACGGCCUUCGGGUUGUAAACCGCUUUCGCCUGUGACGAAGCGUGAGUGACGGUAAUGGGUAAAGAAGCACCGGCUAACUACGUG
Molecule: ribosomal RNA, 468 nt
Filed under: uncultured bacterium
Lineage: Bacteria
Description: partial 16S ribosomal RNA
Rfam family: Bacterial small subunit ribosomal RNA
Source: RNAcentral